AUAGUACUCCCUCCGUUCCAUAAUUCUUGUCGAAAUCUUACAUGUAUCUAGACACUUUUUAUGAAUAGAUGCAUCCAUUCUUGAGCAAAUUUGAGACAAGAAUUAUGGAACGGAGGGAGUAUGAA
Non-coding RNA from Brachypodium distachyon (stiff brome), 125 nucleotides. Lineage: Eukaryota; Viridiplantae; Streptophyta; Magnoliopsida; Poales; Poaceae. The record is from Rfam.